ACAAAACACUCUGAGGCCUCUCAUGUCUGCACUAGGGAUUUCCUUCUCUAUCUCCUUCCAUGCAAAGCACUCUUAGAAAUGAAGUAAACUAUAGUCAGAUAUCAUUUGAGUAGCUGAAACUUCCCAUCUGGGAAACUUAGGAAAACUGAACUUGCAUAAAUCAUGCUGUAUGUCUGUUUAGCUCAUAAAGUGUUUGUGUAGGAUUUUUGUGGCUUUGAAAUGACUAAGAUAACUGGAGCAGCCUGGAAAAAGGACCACAACUCACAGGGUGUUUACAAAACUCACAGGGUAUUACAGAAGUAACUUUCCUCUCACAGGUACUGCUAUAAUUGAGUGGUCAAUAACUAAUGAUGAUGGAGGAAAGAAUUAUCUGUGGAAUGCCUGGUCCCUCAAGUGCAUAGUGAGGGCCAAACUAGUUGCGGUUCAUCUCUGCACGUUGGAGGCAUGUGGAUUAGGAUCUUAAUGCUGUGGUUUGGAGAGAAAUGAGUGAUGAAAAGGAUUCAUAGAUUUGCAAACCAGUGAGACAGGUGCCAGGACUCC
This 540-nucleotide long non-coding RNA is filed under the name Dromaius novaehollandiae (emu). Its description in RNAcentral is "lncRNA (ENSDNVG00000000598.1)". The record is from RNAcentral. Lineage: Eukaryota; Metazoa; Chordata; Aves; Casuariiformes; Dromaiidae.